Molecule: non-coding RNA, 623 nt
Organism: Dermacentor albipictus
Lineage: Eukaryota; Metazoa; Arthropoda; Arachnida; Ixodida; Ixodidae
Source: RefSeq, a predicted model, not a curated record
GAGUGCAAGCGAUACACCAUUCUGCGCCUGUCGGAAAGUGACAACCUGGUGAGGUGUGACUAUUGUGACCACGUCCCUAAUGCACACGGAAAAAUAUGUGAUCUCGAAACGAAAAAUGCAGCCGAGGCAAAGGUGCAAUGCAAUGUGCCAGGCACCGUUGUUCGAGGCCUCAGUGUCACAUGAAACUGUGGAAGCUUGCACAUCUAGUCUCUCCUCAGUGCAAUAUGAGAGGACUGUCCCAGUUGGUGCCUCCAUAGAAAAUGAAUCGGCCUGAAUGCCUGUGCAAGAAUCACAGCCUGGCUGCUCUAAAGACUCCGCACCGUAGUCCCAUGUGCAAGAGCCCCCACUUGACAGCCCAGUGGUUGCCAUGGACAAAGAGAUCCGCGAUACUGAAUGCGGCCAAGCAGUACAAGUUUUUACAUGGACAGUUAACACGAAGUUAUUGACGACAUGCAUGGCUGAAACACGGUGAUAUGAUUUUAAAAAUUCCUGUGUUAUGAUGCAAGUGAUAGUAUUCUGUUGAAUUUUCAGAUCUAGUCAUGUGCCAGCAAGGCCUGCUGUACUUCUGGUGUAUUCUAUGUUGUAUUUUCAAAUAAAGAUGUUGCAUUCUGAAGUUAACCUUA